This is a long non-coding RNA of Arvicola amphibius (Eurasian water vole), 429 nucleotides long. RefSeq lists it as uncharacterized. The record is from RefSeq and is a predicted model, not a curated record. The transcript is spliced from 3 exons. Lineage: Eukaryota; Metazoa; Chordata; Mammalia; Rodentia; Cricetidae.
GAUACGGCGGCCAUGACACCCAAGGUGAGAGCGGAGGGAGGGGCACCCAGAGGGGGUGGGACUUCCUGUCCACCGCCCCAUCUGUCCGUCACCCUCCCGCCCCGCCCCUUCCCGCUGUGACUCAGUUUCCUCCGCAGGCGGCCUCGCCCCUACGACGCACGACGACGCCCAGGGAAACACGGUCGCGCGCAUCGUCUCCCCGAUCGUCUCGGUCGUCGUGGUCGCGAUCGUAGGCGCUGGCGUCAGCUACUUCCGGUCCGGGCAGCGUCGGGGGUGCCUGAGGCAUGGGGACCCUGAGGCCAUCUGACGACGUCACCCACGGCGACGACACGGGCGAAGCAAUGACGUCACCCGACCCAAUGUGACCCCCUGACCCCGAUGUCGAUGCCGGGGCGUGAAUAAAGGAUAAGCUCGCUCGCGAGCCAUUCA